This 465-nucleotide ribosomal RNA is filed under the name uncultured bacterium. RNAcentral's name for it is "partial 16S ribosomal RNA". It matches the Rfam family "Bacterial small subunit ribosomal RNA", at positions 28 to 507 of the family's 1533-position model. The record is from RNAcentral.
GACGAACGCUGGCGGCGUGCUUAACACAUGCAAGUCGUACGGUAAGGCCCUUUCGGGGGUACACGAGUGGCGAACGGGUGAGUAACACGUGAGUAACCUGCCCACAACUUUGGGAUAACGCUAGGAAACUGGUGCUAAUACUGGAUAUGUGCUCCUGCUGCAUGGUGGGGGUUGGAAAGCUCCGGCGGUUGUGGAUGGACUCGCGGCCUAUCAGCUUGUUGGUGGGGUAGUGGCCUACCAAGGCGGCGACGGGUAGCCGGCCUGAGAGGGUGACCGGCCACAUUGGGACUGGGAUACGGCCCAGACUCCUACGGGAGGCAGCAGUGGGGAAUAUUGCACAAUGGGCGCAAGCCGGAUGCAGCAACGCCGCGUGCGGGAGGACGGCCUUCGGGUUGGAAACCGCUUUCAGCAGGGACGAAGCUUUUUGUGACGGUACCUGCAGAAGAAGCACCGGCUAACUACGUG